UAACUUUUGUGUGAAAAGGCAUUAAUAAUUUAGAGGGACGAUAAGACCCUAUAAAAUUUUACAUGUAGUAUAUUUUUUAAUAAAAUUGAUUAGUAAAAUGUUAGUUGAUAAGUUUUGUUUUGCUGGGGCGGCAGGAAUAUAAGCUUAACUGUUUUAUAUUUAAAAUACUAUAAGUAGAGAAUGGUCCUUUAUUAAGGAGAUAAGAGUAAGUUACUUUAGGGAUAACAGCAUAAUUUUUUCUAAGAGUUCUUAUUGAAGGGAAUAGUUGUGACCUCGAUGUUGAAUUAAAUUUUCCCUUAGGUGCAGGAGUUUAAUGGGAGGGUCUGUUCGACCUUUAAAUAUUUACAUGAUUGUU
Molecule: ribosomal RNA, 355 nt
Filed under: Synalpheus sp. 2 HA-2021b
Lineage: Eukaryota; Metazoa; Arthropoda; Malacostraca; Decapoda; Alpheidae
Description: partial large subunit ribosomal RNA
Rfam family: Bacterial large subunit ribosomal RNA (bases 221-355)
Source: RNAcentral